UAGGGAAUCUUCGGCAAUGGACGAAAGUCUGACCGAGCAACGCCGCGUGAGUGAAGAAGGUUUUCGGAUCGUAAACUCUGUUGGUAGAGAAGAACGUUGGUGAGAGUGGAAAGCUCAUCAAGUGACGGUAACUACCCAGAAAGGGACGGCUAACUACAUGCCAG
This 164-nucleotide ribosomal RNA is filed under the name uncultured bacterium. RNAcentral's name for it is "partial 16S rRNA". It matches the Rfam family "Bacterial small subunit ribosomal RNA", at positions 355 to 511 of the family's 1533-position model. The record is from RNAcentral.